Molecule: ribosomal RNA, 497 nt
Filed under: uncultured bacterium
Lineage: Bacteria
Description: partial 16S ribosomal RNA
Rfam family: Bacterial small subunit ribosomal RNA
Source: RNAcentral
GACGAACGCUGGCGGCGUGCCUAAUACAUGCAAGUAGAACGCUGAAGAGAGGAGCUUGCUCUUCUUGGGUGAGUUGCGAGCGGGUGAGUAACGCGUAGGUAACCUGCCUGGUAGCGGGGGAUAACUACUGGAAACGAUAGCUAAUACCGCAUAAUAUUGAUUAUUGCAUGAUAAUUAAUUGAAAGAUGCAACUGCAUCACUAUCAGAUGGACCUGCGUUGUAUUAGCUAGUUGGUGAGGUAACGGCUCACCAAGGCGACGAUACAUAGCCGACCUGAGAGGGGGGUCCGCCACACUGGGACUGAGACACGGCCCAGGCUCCUACGGGAGGCAGCAGGAGGGGAACUUCGGCAAAGGGGGGAAAGCUGACCGGGCAACGCCGCGUGGGGGAAGGAGGGUCUCGGAUCGGAAAGCUCUGUUGUAAGGGAAGAACGGGUGUGGGAGUGGAAAGUUCACACUGUGACGGUAUCUUACCAGAAAGGGACGGCUAACUACGUG